RNAcentral lists this unclassified non-coding RNA (234 nucleotides) under Hevea brasiliensis (rubber tree). The record is from RNAcentral. Lineage: Eukaryota; Viridiplantae; Streptophyta; Magnoliopsida; Malpighiales; Euphorbiaceae.
GGUGUGUGUCUGUGUGUCUGUGUGUGUACACACACCCAGAAAAGCAGAUGAAACAUUCCAUCCAGUUCAGUUAAAGCAGUCAAAAGUUGACAGCAAUAGAAUCUCAAGUUGAAACAACAACCAGAAUUAUCUAUUAAAGUAUAUUACUUUUAUGGCUAUUGGCUUCACAACAGACAAAAGUGAAAACAACAUGAAUAAAAACGGAACUUAAAAUUAAAUGAAUCCCUACCUCAU